GUGACCUUCCGCACUGUUUGUAGCAUUCGGCCCUCCGUAAACGUUAGCCACAGUCUUUGCCGGUGUCCUUGGGUGCUUACCGUAUGCCCGGAACAGUUCUGAGCAACUUGCACGAUUGUCACCGGACGGAGAUUAACGCCUCGCUCGCCUCCGAUGCAAAACUUGAGGAGGCGCCCACAGAUGCAGCCAAAGAGAUCUCAGCUUACGCAUCACCUCCUCCAGGAAGCCUGAGGCUCCAGCCCAGCUCAGGGGCCUCUUCUGAGCUCCUCCAUCACAGCUCUGACACUAACCUGUGAGUGCUGAGAGGGAGAGGAUGAGCGUGUUUUGGGCCCGGUAUCUGAAAUAGGACCUGGCACACAGCAGUUGCCCGCUCAGGGAAGAAGCGAUGAAGGGCAGAGGAGGCCAAGGAAAGAUGAACAAAGCCACCGCGUUCCAGGCCGGCCGGGCAGAAUGGGAGAUUUUCAGGCGGAUUGUGGAAUUCAGCGGGUUGAAUGGAGGCCGCUUCGAGCGAGGAUUCUAGCAGCUCAGAUCACAAAGGCGGCCGAGCGGGGCCUCCUCGGCAAAGCUGCCAACACCUGCUCCCUUUUCAGCGCCACAAUAGGGAAGUUAAGCUUCAGCCACGGCCUCCUGCAUCCCGAAGGGACCUAGCCCGUGGGGCUCAGCUGCCCUGGGAGCUGCAGGGACGUGAGGAGGACAGCAGAGGGGUCUCUCGACGGCUCCCUGGCCCCCACCCACUUGGUGCCAGGAGCACCCGCAGUUGUGACAACCACAGAUGUAUCUGUGAUAACGCCCGGUUGAUCUCGGGCGGCCUCGGCCUACAGCAGCUUGAAGCAGGGUUUUGGUUUCUGGCCGGUGACAGGUCACAGCGGUGAGAGCACCGAAUCCUAGCCACUAGACCAGUGGUCGGUGACGAGGCCCUGGCGCUAUGGCUUUGCAGA
Long non-coding RNA from Globicephala melas (long-finned pilot whale), 938 nucleotides. RefSeq lists it as uncharacterized. Lineage: Eukaryota; Metazoa; Chordata; Mammalia; Artiodactyla; Delphinidae. The record is from RefSeq and is a predicted model, not a curated record.